This 249-nucleotide ribosomal RNA is filed under the name uncultured Turicibacter sp. Its description in RNAcentral is "partial 16S ribosomal RNA". It matches the Rfam family "Bacterial small subunit ribosomal RNA", at positions 355 to 596 of the family's 1533-position model. The record is from RNAcentral. Lineage: Bacteria; Bacillati; Bacillota; Erysipelotrichia; Erysipelotrichales; Turicibacteraceae.
UAGGGAAUCUUCGGCAAUGGGCGAAAGCCUGACCGAGCAACGCCGCGUGAAUGAUGAAGGCCUUCGGGUUGUAAAAUUCUGUUAUAAGGGAAGAACGACUUUAGUAGGAAAUGGCUAGAGUGUGACGGUACCUUAUGAGAAAGCCACGGCUAACUACGUGCCAGCAGCCGCGGUAAUACGUAGGGGGCGAGCGUUAUCCGGAAUUAUUGGGCGGAAAGAGCGCGCCGGUGGUUGAUUAAGUCUGAUGUG